GGCAGUUAUGGAGCAUGCGCAGCAGCAGGGGCGGCCGCAGGUCGCCGUUCAAUAAUACGUAAUGUAUAGACUUUUGAGUAUACGAAGCUCCCUGUUUCUGUAGGUUCACCUGAGGUUUAUCUGGUCUUUCAGGGCUUAAAAGGGAGACAUUCCCAAAGACGAUUCCGUGGGAAGUCUCCUACAAGCCCCGAAGGAAGGGAAUCUCUCUCCUCAUACCUUGAGUUUCCUGAGUACAAUUAUUAUAGAUAUACGAAGAUCUCUGUGCUCAUGGAGAAUUUGUGUCAAGGGAUUUGUACAGCCCUGUAGGAGACACCUCCAGAGAAAGUAACAGCUCUCAAUUGAUUAGCUGAGGUAUGUACUGUGUGACUUAAAUAUUGAGUUUAUUUUUAUCAAAUACCUGUCAAGAAAGAAAGUCAAUUCUGAAACAGCAGAAGCUCAAAGUUCUACAGAUGGCUUUCAAAGGAAUUUGAAUUAGACAUCAUUUGAUGUUGCAAAAAACAAUGACAUCUUUUAUAGCUCUAAACAUCAGUUUUUAAAUUAGAGAUUGAUCUAUAAAGGAGCUAAGUUUGCAUAAUCAUUAUUCAUUUUAAGAUAAUAAUAUAUGAUAGGUACUAAAUUAUAUAGUAGUUUUGUGUAGAGAUUUAUACAUAUUUUCUGAUUGCCAUCAUCACAUCAUCUAAUUAUUUAGAAAUUUCAUUUUCAGAAUCUUGGAUUUUGGACAUAGAGCUUUAAAAAAUAUU
Molecule: long non-coding RNA, 740 nt
Filed under: Pan troglodytes (chimpanzee)
Lineage: Eukaryota; Metazoa; Chordata; Mammalia; Primates; Hominidae
Description: lincRNA
Source: RNAcentral